GGAUUUUGGUUGUUUCUCCCCUCGUUUCAAGGCAGCUGGAGGAAAAAAACACAGGGUGAAGGGCAAGAGCUUGCUGCAAGUGUAAUUUAGCUGAGCACGGAUGGAUCAGCAGCCACUGCCAAGGCGGUUUUGUCAGGAGCAGCUGAUUUAGGUACAGAACACCCUCUAGUUCAAUAUUUGCCUGCAGAACCACCCUGUUUCCUCACUAAGCCGCUCCUGGCUCCUGCUGCUUUCGCCUCCCGAGCUGCAAACCGAGUGGCAAAGAAUUUACGCAGCGAAGCUAAUCCCAAAGCCUGGGGAAACUUCUUGUAACAGGGCAGAUCCCGCUGAUCUGUCCCGAAACGCAGCUUUACUGCCGGAGUCGCAGACGCGGAGCCGCCGCCUGGCUGAGACCCAGCUGCAUUUCGGAGCUGCUCCAUAACCCGGCCGUGGAGAUCCGUCGCAGCCUCGGGGACCGUCGGACCGAGGCUGUUCCCCAAAAGCACGCAGGAUCCUGAGGGUGAAGGGGGCUCACACCGCGCGUACGUAAGCAUCCGAACACUUCUCCUUUCCCCACAGCAUUUGGUCUGCGUGGCUCCCACACACGCAGAGCGAAGCACGUUUUCCUGGAAGUCACAUCAACUCCGCUUCCUGAUUUUGAGCACGGGAACUUAAAGUAAGCUCAUUUACACCAGGAGUUCGUGGCACGCCCAGAUGCCUCACCACAAAGCAUCCAAGCCUGGCAGUAGGUCCCCCAGUGACCCCGAUGCCCCGAGCCCCCCCAGGAGGGGAGGAACGACCACAGCCUGCUCGCUGGACGUGUAAAACAAAAGCCAAGCUCCCAGCCGAGCAGCUUUUUCCACCAGUAAUGCUGCUGAGUCAGACCCCGGCAGCAGCUCCUGCCGAAAGACCAAAAACCGCCCUGUGUUUAUCAGCGACGACCUUCAGCCCUGGCGGUGUCGGGGCCACCGCUAUCCACACGGGAAAUCUGGCCUCUGGGAGCGCAAAUGCUGCAUGUUUUCUUACGACAAGACUCGUGGGACGGAACCUGAAAUUAUCCCAACCUCACCUCCUGCUCCAGAGGGACGUUAGUGGGGGAAAUGGGGGGCUUUAGUUGGGGAAAUGGGGCCUCGGGGCUCACAGGGAGAGCGAGCCCCACCAGGGGAUGGUGCUGCUGCUUCUCCUCCUUGGGAAGUCCCAGCGCUGCCAGCGGAUCGAGCUCUGCUCUCUCAAAUCCACCGGUCCUGCUAAAACCACCCAGCAAUAACUAAUCUGUGUCCUCCUCUCUGCUGCCGGCAAAAUUGGAGCGGAGCGGAUCUCAGGCAGCUCGAUGCACCGCACUUGGUAACCGUUUCGUUAAAACAGCUUCAAUCCGUAGCCGGAUUUUGGCGGUUAAACAUCCACAGCCCACCGAUCUCACCCUCUUCGGGACUACUAACCAAAUUUUAGGACAUUUCUAAGCAAUAACUUUUGUCAAAGCACCACAACCGCACCGACUGCUGAAUAUGCAGAAGGUGAACCAUUUUCCAUAAUCAUCUCCAAGGCCGACAAGAUUUGCAGCACGCAACGCCUGAGCAUGAAAGAGAAGAACUCGAAAUGCUCUUUGCAGAUCUUGUGUUUUCAUAAGGACCUGGAGCCUCGCAGAGACCCAACUGUUACAAAUAAAUACAUUCUGAAAGGGCACUGAAGUCAGUUCCUCCUUCUUCCCCACCCUCUUAAAAACCUGAACUCCAGGUUCUGCAAUUCUGCUGCAGGAAUGUAAUUACCACGCGUAAUGGUUGCUGCAGUGUCUAAACGCCACAGGCUUUGGGGCUGCAUUGCUCUUCCUAGGAAAAAAAACAA
Long non-coding RNA from Cygnus olor (mute swan), 1821 nucleotides. RefSeq lists it as uncharacterized. NCBI's taxonomy places the organism in Eukaryota, Metazoa, Chordata, Aves, Anseriformes, Anatidae. The record is from RefSeq and is a predicted model, not a curated record. The transcript has 2 exons.